This 212-nucleotide ribosomal RNA is filed under the name uncultured bacterium. Its description in RNAcentral is "partial 16S ribosomal RNA". It matches the Rfam family "Bacterial small subunit ribosomal RNA", at positions 135 to 334 of the family's 1533-position model. The record is from RNAcentral.
CGUGGGGGAUAGUCCUCCGAAAGGGGGUUGAAUACCGCAUAUGCUCGGUGCUGUCGUGGCAUCGAGGAAAGGUGGCCUCUGCGAGCAAGCUGGUGGCCUGAGACAGGGAUGCGUCCUAUUAGCUAGCUGGUGGGGUAAUGGCCUACCAGGGCAACGAUGGGUAGCUGGUCUGAGAGGAUGAUCAGCCACACUGGGACUGCGACACGGCCCAG